UUCCCUUUGUUAUUACAUAAUUUUAUUUUAUAUUGAAAAAUUAUAAGAUUUUUUUUUUUUACUUUUAUGAUACAAUAAAACUAAAUGAAGCAUUUUCAUCUAAAAAAAGACUAAAAUAUUUUCUCCAUGUUGAAUUCUUAAGUAGAGUACUAUUUACUCAUGAAAAUAUGAGUAAAUAUGGGUAAACUAGUAUUUUACCCAACCAAUUUCAUACCCAAUCCAUUUUUACCUAUAUCAAAUAUGAGCGGGUUGAAUUAUUACUCAUUUUAUGUUGACCCAUUUUCAACCCGCCCAAAUUUUACCCAAC
RNAcentral lists this long non-coding RNA (307 nucleotides) under Solanum tuberosum (potato). RNAcentral's name for it is "long non-coding RNA (STUB_LNC000927)". Lineage: Eukaryota; Viridiplantae; Streptophyta; Magnoliopsida; Solanales; Solanaceae. The record is from RNAcentral.